Molecule: ribosomal RNA, 442 nt
Filed under: uncultured bacterium
Lineage: Bacteria
Description: partial 16S ribosomal RNA
Rfam family: Bacterial small subunit ribosomal RNA
Source: RNAcentral
CCUACGGGCGGCUGCAGUGGGGAAUAUUGGGCAAUGGGCGAAAGCCUGACCCAGCAACGCCGCGUGAAGGAAGAAGGCUUUCGGGUUGUAAACUUCUUUUGACAGGGAAGAGCAGAAGACGGUACCUGUCGAAUAAGCCACGGCUAACUACGUGCCAGCAGCCGCGGUAAUACGUAGGUGGCAAGCGUUGUCCGGAUUUACUGGGUGUAACGGGCGUGUAGCCGGGCUGACAAGUCAGUUGUGAAAUUCGGGGGCUCAACCCCCGAACUGCAUUUGAAACUGUUAGUCUUGAGUAUCGGAGAGGCAGGCGGAAUUCGUAGUGUAGCGGUGAAAUGCGUAGAUAUUAGGAGGAACACCAGUGGCGAAGGCGGCCUGCUGGACGACAACUGACGGUGAGGCGCGAAAGCGUGGGGAGCAAACAGGAUUAGAUACCCCUGUAGUC